RNAcentral lists this ribosomal RNA (477 nucleotides) under Enterobacter ludwigii. RNAcentral describes it as "partial 23S ribosomal RNA". It matches the Rfam family "Bacterial large subunit ribosomal RNA", at positions 2445 to 2916 of the family's 2925-position model. Lineage: Bacteria; Pseudomonadati; Pseudomonadota; Gammaproteobacteria; Enterobacterales; Enterobacteriaceae. The record is from RNAcentral.
UCGCUCAACGGAUAAAAGGUACUCCGGGGAUAACAGGCUGAUACCGCCCAAGAGUUCAUAUCGACGGCGGUGUUUGGCACCUCGAUGUCGGCUCAUCACAUCCUGGGGCUGAAGUAGGUCCCAAGGGUAUGGCUGUUCGCCAUUUAAAGUGGUACGCGAGCUGGGUUUAGAACGUCGUGAGACAGUUCGGUCCCUAUCUGCCGUGGGCGCUGGAGAAUUGAGGGGGGCUGCUCCUAGUACGAGAGGACCGGAGUGGACGCAUCACUGGUGUUCGGGUUGUCAUGCCAAUGGCACUGCCCGGUAGCUAAAUGCGGAAGAGAUAAGUGCUGAAAGCAUCUAAGCACGAAACUUGCCCCGAGAUGAGUUCUCCCUGAGACUUUAAGUCUCCUGAAGGAACGUUGAAGACUACGACGUUGAUAGGUCGGGUGUGUAAGCGCAGCGAUGCGUUGAGCUAACCGAUACUAAUGAACCGUGAGG